CCUACGGGUGGCAGCAGUCGAGAAUCAUUCACAAUGGGGGAAACCCUGAUGGUGCGACGCCGCGUGGGGGAAUGAAGGUCUUCGGAUUGUAAACCCCUGUCAUGUGGGAGCAAAUUAAAAAGAUAGUACCACAAGAGGAAGAGACGGCUAACUCUGUGCCAGCAGCCGCGGUAAUACAGAGGUCUCAAGCGUUGUUCGGAAUCACUGGGCGUAAAGCGUGCGUAGGCUGUUUCGUAAGUCGUGUGUGAAAGGCGCGGGCUCAACCCGCGGACGGCACAUGAUACUGCGAGACGAGAGUACUGGAGGGGGAAGCGGAAUUCUCGGUGUAGCAGUGAAAUGCGUAGAUAUCGAGAGGAACACUCGUGGCGAAGGCGGGUUCCUGGACAUUAACUGACGCUGAGGCACGAAGGCCAGGGGAGCGAAAGGGAUUAGAUACCCCUGUAGUC
RNAcentral lists this ribosomal RNA (446 nucleotides) under uncultured bacterium. RNAcentral describes it as "partial 16S ribosomal RNA". It matches the Rfam family "Bacterial small subunit ribosomal RNA", at positions 338 to 795 of the family's 1533-position model. The record is from RNAcentral.